AGCAGCCGCGGUAAUUCCAGCUCCAAUAGCGUAUAUUAAAGUUGUUGCAGUUAAAAAGCUCGUAGUUGAAUUUCGGGAUCAAAGAAUCGGUCAUGCCUUGGUAUGUACUGGUUUUAUUGGUUCUCACCUUCUAAAGAACCAUGAUGUCAUUCAUUUGAUGUCAUGGGGAAUUAGGACUGUUACCUUGAAAAAAUUAGAGUGUUUAAAGCAAGCUUACGCUUGAAUACAUUAGCGAUGGAAUAAUGAAAUAGGACAUCAGAUUCUAUUUUGUUGGUUUCUAGGAUCGAUGUAAUGAUUAAUAGGGAUAGUUGGGGGCAUUAGUAUUCAAUUGUCAGAGGUGAAAUUCUUGGAUUUAUUGAAGACUAACUACUGCGAAAGCAUUUGCCAAGGAUGUUUUCAUUAAUCAAGAACGAAAGUUAGGGGAUCGAAGACGAUCAGAUACCGUCGUAGUCUUAACCAUAAACUAUGCCGACUAGGGAUCGGAUGAUGUUAAUUUUUUCAAUGACUCAUUCGGCACCUU
RNAcentral lists this ribosomal RNA (520 nucleotides) under uncultured Glomus. RNAcentral's name for it is "SSU rRNA". It matches the Rfam family "Eukaryotic small subunit ribosomal RNA", at positions 569 to 1089 of the family's 1831-position model. Lineage: Eukaryota; Fungi; Glomeromycota; Glomeromycetes; Glomerales; Glomeraceae. The record is from RNAcentral.